This 273-nucleotide ribosomal RNA is filed under the name uncultured bacterium. RNAcentral's name for it is "partial 16S ribosomal RNA". It matches the Rfam family "Bacterial small subunit ribosomal RNA", at positions 99 to 353 of the family's 1533-position model. The record is from RNAcentral.
CAAACGGGUGAGUAACACGUAAACAACCUGCCUUCAGGAUGGGGACAACAGACGGAAACGACUGCUAAUACCGAAUAAGUUCCAAGAGCCGCAUGGCCCAUGGAAGAAAAGGUGGCCUCUACUUGUAAGCUAUCGCCUGAAGAGGGGUUUGCGUCUGAUUAGCUGGUUGGAGGGGUAACGGCCCACCAAGGCGACGAUCGGUAGCCGGACUGAGAGGUUGAACGGCCACAUUGGGACUGAGACACGGCCCAGACUCCUACGGGAGGCAGCAUG